Molecule: long non-coding RNA, 560 nt
Filed under: Anser brachyrhynchus (Pink-footed goose)
Lineage: Eukaryota; Metazoa; Chordata; Aves; Anseriformes; Anatidae
Description: lncRNA (ENSABRG00000003885.1)
Source: RNAcentral
AUUUCCACAGCAAGAUGUAUUUUCGUGGGCUGACACAAAGCUUGUAUUUUUGUAACUGGAGAUGCAACAAAUGCCAUCCACAGUAAAUGGACAUACUCAUGUUGUGGCCAGGCAUGCAAGUUUGGUCAGCUCUGCGUGAGGCCGAUGUAAUUUCCCAGGAUGUAUGUCAAGACGUGGCAGAACAUGCCCUGUUAAACAAACGAGAGAGUGUUGUGGUUGCUCUGAUGAACACAGGAGGAAAGCAGGAGAAGAAAUACAUGGGCAUAAUUUGCCUGUCAGUAAUGUGAGCUUUUGUUCUAUAAUCACAUGAUAAUGAUUUCUUUUUCUGUUUUUACCUGUUAGUGUCUCAGUUCCAUGCUGUUGUUUCUGGCUGCUAAAAACAUGCCUAGCAAUGUCUCAGCUCUUUAAAAUCUUAGUAGUCACCAAGUAAAAGUAAAAGAAAAAGUAAAAGAAAGAUACUGAAGAGUAGAAAGGCUGUUUCUGCUGAUGGUGUUUUCUCCGCAUUAGCACUUUGAGAAGUUCUGAAGUGUAUUUGUUCUAUUAAACCAGCAUUAGAAAAU